AUUUUUUUUUUUUAUGGAAAUUAUACAUAAAAAUAUAAAUCGAUUGGGAGUAUCUGGAGAGGGACGUCAUUGUCCAAGUGGGGUUUUCGUGUCAGCAAAGCUUUUCUGUGUGAUUUGAGCUUAAGCUCACAUAUCUUCUACUACUUCCAAAUCCCUAAUCUCUCAUUAUCAUUAAGUCUUGAAAAUAAAAUCAACCCAUUUAGAAAUAUCUGGGAAUUAUGUAUCUGAUCGUUCACAAACAAUAAUUGAAGGACUAACCCUCACAUUAAAAAAAAAAAAAA
This 281-nucleotide unclassified non-coding RNA is filed under the name Hevea brasiliensis (rubber tree). The record is from RNAcentral. Lineage: Eukaryota; Viridiplantae; Streptophyta; Magnoliopsida; Malpighiales; Euphorbiaceae.